RNAcentral lists this long non-coding RNA (209 nucleotides) under Brassica napus (rape). RNAcentral's name for it is "long non-coding RNA (BNAP_LNC026499)". The record is from RNAcentral. Lineage: Eukaryota; Viridiplantae; Streptophyta; Magnoliopsida; Brassicales; Brassicaceae.
AUCUACAUCAUUUGUAUUCAAAUAUCUUCUUCUCUUUUUUUUUUGUUUUUAAACCUUUCAUAUUUGAUUUGUAGAGUGUGUUUGAUUUGUUGUGUGAUAUGUCAAAUUCAAAAUUUGUAAAAUAGUUUUUCAACGUAUUAAACCUUUCAAAUUCAAAAAAUAUAUAUAUAUUGAAGUUAAAGGGUUAGAAAUAUAUGAAGUAUAAGAUA